Molecule: ribosomal RNA, 427 nt
Filed under: uncultured bacterium
Lineage: Bacteria
Description: partial 16S ribosomal RNA
Rfam family: Bacterial small subunit ribosomal RNA
Source: RNAcentral
UGGGGAAUAUUGGACAAUGGGCGAAAGCCUGAUCCAGCCAUGCCGCGUGUGUGAAGAAGGUCUUCGGAUUGUAAAGCACUUUAAGUUGGGAGGAAGGGCAUUAACCUAAUACGUUAGUGUUUUGACGUUACCGACAGAAUAAGCACCGGCUAACUCUGUGCCAGCAGCCGCGGUAAUACAGAGGGUGCAAGCGUUAAUCGGAAUUACUGGGCGUAAAGCGCGCGUAGGUGGUUUGUUAAUUUGGAUGUGAAAGCCCCGGGCUCAACCUGGGAACUGCAUCCAAAACUGGCAAGCUAGAGUAUGGUAGAGGGUGGUGGAAUUUCCUGUGUAGCGGUGAAAUGCGUAGAUAUAGGAAGGAACACCAGUGGCGAAGGCGACCACCUGGACUAAUACUGACACUGAGGUGCGAAAGCGUGGGGAGCAAACA